RNAcentral lists this ribosomal RNA (325 nucleotides) under uncultured eukaryote. RNAcentral's name for it is "partial 18S ribosomal RNA". It matches the Rfam family "Eukaryotic small subunit ribosomal RNA", at positions 1470 to 1796 of the family's 1831-position model. The record is from RNAcentral.
CCCUUAGAUGUUCUGGGCUGCACGCGCGCUACACUGAUACUUUCAGCGAGUCCACCACCUUGCCUGGGAAGGUGGGGUAACCUCUGGAAAGUGCAUCGUGAUGGGGAUCGAUUAUUGUAAUUAUUAAUCUUCAACGAGGAAUUCCUAGUAAGCAUGUGUCAUCAGCCCGUGCUGAUUACGUCCCUGCCCUUUGUACACACCGCCCGUCGCUCCUACCGAUUGAAUGCUCAGGUGAGCCAUUCGGACUUUCAUCAUGCUGGUUUCCAGUUUUGAUGAAGGAAAGUCUUGCGAACCUUAUCAUUUAGAGGAAGGAGAAGUCGUAACA